Molecule: ribosomal RNA, 253 nt
Filed under: uncultured bacterium
Lineage: Bacteria
Description: partial 16S ribosomal RNA
Rfam family: Bacterial small subunit ribosomal RNA
Source: RNAcentral
UACGGAGGGAGCUAGCGUUGUUCGGAAUUACUGGGCGUAAAGCGUACGUAGGCGGCUUUGUAAGUCAGCGGUGAAAGCCUGGAGCUCAACUCUAGAACUGCCUUUGAGACUGCAUCGCUCGAAUCCGGGAGAGGUGAGUGGAAUUCCGAGUGUAGAGGUGAAAUUCGUAGAUAUUCGGAAGAACACCAGUGGCGAAGGCGGCUCGCUGGACCGGUAUUGACGCUGAGGUGCGAAAGCGUGGGGAGCAAACAGG